CAAUAGCGUAUAUUAAAGUUGUUGCGGUUAAAAAGCUCGUAGUUGGAUCUCGGCAGGCAGGGGGUGGUUCGCUCUUAGCGCUACUGCCCCAUUUGCCUGUGUGAUUGGCGGAGGUUUCGGGGUGCUCUUCGUUGAGUGACCCGGGGCGCCGUCAGGUUUACUUUGAAAAAAUUAGAGUGCUCAAAGCAGGCUUUUCACGCUUGAAUAUUCGUGCAUGGAAUAAUGGAAUAGGAACUCGUUUCUAUUUUGUUGGUUUUCGGAAAUCGAGUUGAUGAUUAAUAGGGACAAUUGGGGGCAUUAGUAUUCAGACGACAGAGGUGAAAUUCUUGGACCGUCUGAAGACUAACUACUGCGAAAGCAUUUGCCAAGAGUGUUUUCAUUAA
Molecule: ribosomal RNA, 383 nt
Filed under: uncultured eukaryote
Lineage: Eukaryota
Description: partial 18S ribosomal RNA
Rfam family: Eukaryotic small subunit ribosomal RNA
Source: RNAcentral